RNAcentral lists this long non-coding RNA (4209 nucleotides) under Chinchilla lanigera (long-tailed chinchilla). Its description in RNAcentral is "lncRNA (ENSCLAG00000026335.1)". The record is from RNAcentral. Lineage: Eukaryota; Metazoa; Chordata; Mammalia; Rodentia; Chinchillidae.
CUUCCUAAUACCUUUCUGUAACAGAAGUACAUGUGAAUUAAGAUGAUCCAUGAAGUGUUUUCUCUACAUUAAAUAUUUUAAUGAAAAGCUAAAGAUUUCUGAUGUAAAAGUCAGAGUACAGCCAUGCUACAUAUCUCUGUGCAUUAUUUCGAUAUAUUUUUCUUAGAUUUUUAAAGAAAAUUAUAAAGACAUUUCUUUGCCUCUUUAUAACAGGAAAACUAUUUAAGUGUAGGUUUAAAAAUUUGUAAUGGUUUCCCAUCGCUAGGAAGCCGAAACCAGCUGGGAGGCCGAGCGAACCCACAACUCCUGAAACAGUAGCAGUGAGAAACGAGCGCCGCAGCAAGGAGGAAGGAAGCCCCGUUCAGUAGCGAUCCUUGUCAGAAGCGCGUCCCUCUGAACGCCACAUGUUGUCUCAAGACGAAUAAUUUUAAUUUUCCCAAGAGCCCUGGAUUCAGAGUCAUGAAUAAGAAAAUGACUGCAGAUCCACUCAGUGGAUUAAUUUUACUCUUAUAUUUCCUGCCUUCAAACUACGCAAAAAAUCCUAGUUCAAACUAUGCAGAAAAUUCUCGCACAUUACAAAAUUGUAGCAUUUUGCAUGUAAAUGAAUGGGUAAAUCCAGAAAGAAGAGAUUUUGAAAACUGGCAGUCUAAAACUUGAAAUUUAAUUUCCUAAUGUUCUAGCAACCUUGGAUGAUACUGUAAUAUUAGACUGUUUGCACGCUGUAAAAUGAAGAUUGCAAUGCUAACUCUAUAAUAUGAGUAAUAAAACAAGGUUAAGUGUUAAAGUCAUGAAAUAUAUUAGGGUCACACAUGCUAGUAGGCCUUUUAAGAUGGCUUUUCUUUUUUACUGACAAGAUACUUAAGGAUAAGAACAAUUACCUAAUCAAAAUAGUGCUCUACAAAAUCAGAUUUAAUGGCCAAAGGAUCGGAUUUUGGACCUGUCACAAGUUUUGUUGAGAAAUUCAGUUCAUUUAUCAGCAUGGAUGCUAUCUCACAUGCAAAACAAUUUUGGCUUUUUAGAAGUGUGGUCAGAAUUAAAUGAGAUACCAUAUAUAUAAACACCAAUUUGUUGCUGUUCUUAUAAAGGAGAAAGUAAAUCAUAUUAAGAUUUUCCCCAGGGCAUAGUGUAAAACUCUCACAGAGAUUUAUCAGUUAGUGAUUACCAGUGUCAGUUUGUUUUUCCAUUAUUAAAACUAAUUUUUACAUCUGUUUACUGGCCUGUUUUAGGAAUGGAAAUAACUACCCAUCAAGAUGAGUAGGCUUAGUUAUUUUAUUGUUUUCUGAUUUAUUAUUUUACAAACUGGCAAAGCAUUUACCCUUCCUUUCUCAAAAAACAUUCAAUAAACUUCAGCUCCUCAAAUAUUAGUACUUGAUUUCUCUUCUUUGCAGCAAUCAAAUGUUGAUAGAAGUGAAUCUGUAGGUAAAAAUUUUCAAAAACUUAGGAAACAUCAAGAGAAUCUUCUAGAUCCAAUUUCCAAAUGCAUAGCAACAUAUAUGCACAGCCGUAUUAAAAAUCAAACACAGCAUUUCAUUUCAGCCAUGCUGUUAUAGCCCAAGUGGUUGGGCUUACUGAAUUCUGCUGUGAUACUAGAGAAAACUGAAUUACUAUUCAGUACUCAUUUCUCCAAAUAUUUAAUUUGCCAGAGAUUGUUGAAAGGGUUUCAUUACAGGUAUUUAGGCAGGAUUAGGAAAUCCACUGGUGCUGAUUGUGUCCACACAGAUAUGUGAUAUUUGGCUCCCUAUAGCUACAUGCUUUGAGAUUGGAGUGUGAGGCUCCACGGUCCUGAGCUGUCUUUGCUCUGUAAUUGCAUGGGCUGACUUCACUGGGCUGAAUGUGUAUUGCAAUUGAACUAAAAUGGGUCUGUUUUUCACCAAGCACACUUUGGUCAUGCAUCAAUGCAUUUUUAAUUAAAAGUGGUGACAGGUACAAUGGUGAGGCAUGCCAAAUAACUUGCUCAAACAUUCUAUAUCCUCAAAGAUAGGCAAUCAGAAUUUUGUGUCUGUUAGUCAGGAAGAGAAUAUUUCCAUUAAAUAUUAGAAUAUUAAAUAUCUCAAAACUUAGUAAUACAUCAAUACAGUAAUACAGCAUUUCUGUUGUAAGUACUGUACCAUGGAUACUUCAUGCGGCUUCAUCAAAAUAAAAUAUUUAUUGUCGACAGAACUAAAAUUGGUGACAAACAAUCUGAUAGGCAUCCUCAUUAUAUUUUUACUGCUCACAAUGAAGACCUGAGAAAUUAGUAGUAGGGUGAAAAGCAGAGUCAAUUAGAAAAUGACUGUUUCAGUAGAACAGAAAUCACAGCAGAAACUUAGACACAGCAGAAUAAGGAGACACUUGAGAACAUCCACAUGAAGACCCAGGAACAACACUACAAUAUUGCUAUGUUGAUACAGAGAUCUUACAGAAAGGCUUAGCUCUCCAAAUAGUUUCUAAUUGAAAGUGAAACCUAGGUGAACAGCAAAGAAUGCAAAUUUUUGAAUCAUUUGCAUUUACAUAUAUUGAAGUGAAGUUCUCCAAAACCAAUGCCAUAAAUGUGAUUUGGCGAUUUUAUUUUUAUUUUGUUGUUUUUUGAGGUGAUUUGGCAAUUUUAGUUUGACUAAAAAUACUAAAAUGAGUGAUUUAAUCACAGAUGAAAUAAAUUUAAGAAAAUGGACUCUUUAAUGGUCAUGUGAUUUGAGAAUUGAUGUUCAUAUAUCAGUAUUUUACAUUUUAAAAAAAUUAACUCACACUUAAGCAAAUUAUAGUGUCAAAUAGGGUGGAGUGAAGCAUUGACUGAAGUCACUCAGGUCUGUUUUGUAUAAUUUGAUAUUAUUUCAGCCUGCAGAAUUAUAGAAAAGAACUUCAAAUCACAUAUAACAGCUGGGUUUCUAGGAUAUACACACAAAUAUCCAUAAAAAAUAUACAUAACCCAAUUUAAAAAUUAACAAAGCACUUGAGUAGAUAUUUCUACAACGAUAUUGAAAUUUUCAAUAUACACAUGCCCGAAAACACUAUGAUGAAAUAUAACAAAGUCCAAAUUACAAUUUGGAGGAGGUAUAUCUUCAUAUUGACUUACAAGUUUGAUCCUAGAAUAGUUAGUGAAAAUAACAGAAAAUAGCACGUAUGGGUGAAGAUGUGGAGAAAUAAGCACCCAGGACACUGCUGGUGGUAAUGGGAAAUUGUCGAGCCCCUAUGGAAAACUGAUGAAUCUUCAGACUGUUAAACAGAAUCAGCACAUGAUCCUAUAGUUUCACCCAUAGGUAAUUACACCAAAACUUUCAACAGAUUCUUAAACAUGGGCACUCCUGUUGGGAGCAGAACUACUGAUAAGAGUAAACGGGGGAAUAGCCCAAAUGCUCAUAACUGGAUGAAUACAUAAAUAAAGUGUGGCAUAAACAUUGGAUGAAAUGAACAUUAUUGAGUGACAAAAAUGCUGGAACAUGUUACAGUGUGCAUGAAAUUGCAGAACACUUUGUUAAGGAACAAAAAAUAAAAUGUACACAGUAUCAUAACAUUUAUAUGAAAUUUGACAAUUGAUAAAUCCAUACCUAUUGUAAGAGAAAUCACAUUUGUUAUUUCCAGGGUCUUGAAGGUGGAAAGAAUGGGAGAAAUUGCUUAAUGGGUAAAGGAUUUUUAUUUCAAAGUUAUGGAAAAACUUUGGAACUGGAUACAGAUUGUGGAUGAAACACACUGUGAAUGUACUAAAAUGCCAUAUAGUUGUUUGCUACACAAAUUUUAAUUUUGUGUUAUUUCAUGUCAGUCAAUCAAAAACACUCUAGAAAGUGGACUGAUGUUCAUGUAUGUUCAUAAAUAUUAUUUCUUCAAUAAUACAACCAAUAUAACAUUUUCUAAACUGUAAAAGAGAACAGACAAUAAUUGCUAACUUUAUUAUUCCUCUUGUAGCAGUAUUGUGUGAGAUAUACAGUAACAAAAAAGUAUCUGUGCCUUUUUAAUGUAUGUUACACUGUCUCAGAAAAAAUUCUAAGUCCAAAAGAAACUGGUAAAACAAACAUGUAAAUUUAGUUUGUAAUCUUAUAAUCCCAAUAAAAAUUAAUGGCAUGUUGACUUGCUUUCUUAGAAUGAAUUUUCACAUGUUACUGAUUCAAAGAAGUAUAUUAGAUGAUACCUUUUACUUUUGUGCUCUUCGGUUUUCAGAUAUAGUCAAUAAAUUUCAUGAAAAAAUUUUAUUUCAUGCUUCUUUUUAAUUUCAGCUGUUUAAAAAUAUAAUUUGUG